Molecule: long non-coding RNA, 1951 nt
Organism: Globicephala melas (long-finned pilot whale)
Lineage: Eukaryota; Metazoa; Chordata; Mammalia; Artiodactyla; Delphinidae
Source: RefSeq, a predicted model, not a curated record
GCUCCAGACGCGCAGGCUUAGCGGCCAUGACUCACGGGCCCAGCCACUUCGCAGCAUGUGGGAUCUUCCCGGACUGGGGCACGAACCCUUGUCCCCUGCAUCGGCAGGCAGACUCUCAACCACUGCGCCACCAGGGAAGCCCGAGCCAUAGGAAUUUGGAUGGUCAAGAACAUGCUCCAGUCAGUCCUUGAAUCCACAGAAUCAAACCAGCGUCUCAUCGUGGGGAGCGUCAUUAGUAUGAGCGUCAUCGACAUCAUCAUUACCAUCAUCAUCACCAUCACGCUAGUGGAAACACAGUUCUGUCCAACAAAUAAUAAUUGAGCCUUGACUCUGUUCUGGACACUGGAAUACAUGCCGGGGGAGAGAGAGCAAAAUGAACUUGUUCCAUCGCGAGACGCUCCCAAACUUCUCAUGCCAUCAGGUUCAGGCUUGAAGUCCAGGAUCUCAUCUUUGGUAUCAUUUCCAGUUUCAGGUAUACAGCAAAGUGAGAGAUUGGUUCAAGAUGGCGGAGUAGGACGUGUGCUCACUCCCUCUUGCGAGAGCACUGGAAACACAAGGAACUGCUGAACAAUCAUUGACAGGAAGACACUGGAACUCACCAAAAAAGAUACCCCACAUCCAAAGACAAAGGAGAAGCCACAGUGAGACGGAUGGAGUCUCGGUCAGUGUCGAUGGGUUGGGGAAGGAAGAAGUAAGAAGAGAUAAAAAGGAAAAGUUUGAACUUGAACCCGAGUCAUACCCAUCUCUCAUUGGAAUCCCAGAAACCAUCUUCCUCCUUUGGACAGGACAAAAAGACUUAGAAUCUCACCGUCAUUGGGCUUGUCAGACCACAUGGGACUGCAUAGUACCAUGCUUUUGGCUGUGAGUGUUUGGAAGGCAUGUGUGGGUUUUGCCUGCCCAACAUCUAUUCUCAUUUCUUAUAAAAAUAACUUGACUUUUUUUCCUUUGAGAAACUAACCUUCUCCUGGCCUCAGUCCCUCUUCCAGGUCCAGGUAGGUGUGUAGGCAGGCCUGGCAAUCAACAUGUCUCAUUCCUCUGACCACAAUGGUUGGUUUAAGGAUGACAAUAUGAUCCAAAUCUGGGCCAGCAGGUCUCAAUUUUGAUGCGUUUAUUGGCCUUCUUUUCCCCCAGGGAUGGUAAGCUCUGGGGAUGUAAGCCUGCUCCUGCCUCAACCCUCUAGAGAGAGCUUACUGCAGAGUGGAGCCAAUGUGAUGGGAGACCCCCAUGCUCAUAAUGUCGUUUGAGUUCCUCCCUGUCAGGCUUGGAUUUUCAGGUACUUGAGCCAAUAAAUCCAGUGUCUCCUUUUUUUUUUUUUUUUAAUUGGCUGUCUUGGGUCUUCGUUGCGGUGCGCGUGCUUCUCAUUGCGGUGGCUUCUCUUGUUGCGGAGCAUGGACUCUAGGCACGCGGGCUCAGUAGUUGUGGCUCGUGGGCUCUAGAGUACAGGCUCAGUAGUUGUGGUACAUGGGCUUAGUUGCUCCGCGGCAUGUGGGAUCUUCCCGGACCAGGGCUCGAACCCGUGUCCGCUGCAUUGGCAGGCGGAUUCUUAACCACUGCGCCACCAAGGAAGCCCCAUUUUUUUUUUUUUUCUUAAAUCAGGUUGACUUGGGUUUUUGACACUUGGAAUCAAGAGAGUCCUGAGUCAUGGAUCUGACUUUGUUGGGCUGGAGUGAGUGGAAGAGGCACCCAGGAUGUGAGGGGGUCUGGAAGCCAUGCCCUAGCAGAAGCUCUUAGGGAGACCAGCAGUGUUCGUCCCCAUCUGGAGGGGCUGUCUCUGGGCUGCUUGUCUUAUCUCAUCUGGUUAGGUGUGUUCUCAGGGCAGAACUAGACCAAAGAGAGGUGGUUAUGGAGGAACAGAUGGUGAGGACAUGAUUUCCAAUUUGCUGGAGAAAUAUAGUUGUAAAUUCCUAGUAUAGAAAUGAGAGCCUUGGGGCUUCCCUGGUGGCGCAGUGGU